AUCUUAAUUAAUUAUUUUAAAAUUAUAAAAGAAAAAAUAAUAGAUUGUAAGAAACUAAGAAAGAAGCAUAAAAAUUAUAAUAAAAUUAUUUUUCAUUAAUCAAAUAAGGAAGCGUAUAUAAAGAAAAAAAAAUAAAAUUAUGAUACAAGAUAACUAAACCAAGUUGAUCUUCUUACUGCAUCCGAUGGUGGAUGUGUCUCCUUGAAUCCUUCAUCUUCUUUCGUACAGACAGCGGCAG
Molecule: long non-coding RNA, 238 nt
Filed under: Elaeis guineensis (African oil palm)
Lineage: Eukaryota; Viridiplantae; Streptophyta; Magnoliopsida; Arecales; Arecaceae
Description: long non-coding RNA (EGUI_LNC031958)
Source: RNAcentral